GAUUGAAGUCAGUCGUACCGACGAGAAAUCAACCUUUCGAGCAUGAUCUUGUGGGUGCGUAAGAGUCUUUAUAAGCCUUUGCGUUUACAAGUUUGUGUUUCUUUGGCGUAUUUUUUCGUAUGGUUGGUUAACAUCAAUUUUGGUAAUCAUAAAAUGAUUGGAGGAAUGUAGCUUCGAUUUUUUUCGUAGUGUUAUAGACUUCGGUAGAUAUGAUUAUUGAGAUUGAGGAUUGCAACGAAUACCUUUUAGGCUAUUCGCCUGAUCUCUGAUCGUUGCCUUGGUGCCGAAAGCGUGCUUACGGUUAUCGAGGUUNAU
Molecule: ribosomal RNA, 315 nt
Filed under: uncultured Glomeromycotina
Lineage: Eukaryota; Fungi; Glomeromycota
Description: LSU rRNA
Source: RNAcentral